GAGCCAUGAUCAUGCCACUCCACUCCAGCCUGGGCAACAGAACAAGACUGUCUCAAAAACAGAAAGGAAAACCCCCCAAACCCCAAAUGUUUAGUUCUGUACACAUAAGAGAUACUUAGCAAAAGUUUGUUGAAUAGAUGAACUGCUGCCUUACUUAUGCAUGAAUACAUCAAAUAUCUAUUGAGCUUCGUUUUCAGGCACAAUACUAGAUCCUGGAGCUGUAAUGGAAGUGGAGGUACAGGCUAGAAAAGUUGACAUCUGAGUGGUGAGUAGAAUGAGCAGAAGUUGGGGGAAGGGGAUGGGAGAAUGUGCCUUGCAAAGGAUUUAUGGGAAAAUCCUGACCCUCCCAACCCAAUCCUCAUUAAUUCUCUAAUCCUGGCCCUCAAAUCCUAAAUUCACUGUUGGUGUCAGUGCCUUUUACUCUCUCCACUUUUUCGUUCUGAUCCCAGAUGGGUACAUGUGUCUAGAAACUCUGAGAUGCUCCAUAGAUACAGAGAACUCUUAACUCAUUAUUUUGUAAAUUAAAAAAUAGAAAAUAUAGGCUUGUUCUGAAAAU
RNAcentral lists this long non-coding RNA (556 nucleotides) under Homo sapiens (human). RNAcentral describes it as "HSALNT0343276". The record is from RNAcentral. Lineage: Eukaryota; Metazoa; Chordata; Mammalia; Primates; Hominidae.